Molecule: ribosomal RNA, 481 nt
Filed under: uncultured bacterium
Lineage: Bacteria
Description: bacterial SSU rRNA
Rfam family: Bacterial small subunit ribosomal RNA
Source: RNAcentral
UUGAACGCUGGCGGAAUGCUUUACACAUGCAAGUCGAGCGGCAGCGCGGGGCAACCUGGCGGCGAGCGGCGAACGGGUGAGUAAUGCAUCGGAACAUGUCCAUGUCGUGGGGGAUAGCCCGGCGAAAGCCGGAUUAAUACCGCAUACGCCCGAGAGGGGAAAGUGGGGGACCGCAAGGCCUCACGCGAUUGGGUUGGCCGAUGUCCGAUUAGCUUGUUGGUGAGGUAAAGGCUUACCAAGGCGAUGAUCGGUAGCUGGUCUGAGAGGAUGAUCCGCCACACUGGGACUGAGACACGGCCCAGACUCCUACGGGAGGCAGCAGUGGGGAAUUUUGGACAAUGGGCGAAAGCCUGAUCCAGCCAUGCCGCGUGCGGGAAGAAGGCCUUCGGGUUGUAAACCGCUUUCAGCCGGAAAGAAAUCGCCACUUCUAAUACGAGUGGUGGAUGACGGUACCGGAAGAAGAAGCACCGGCUAACUACGU